GAAGACGAGCCAGAUUUUCUAGAAGAUGAUAUAUUCCAUCUGGUCCAGGUGUUUUGAUCGCGCGCAGGGGACAUCUUGUCGAAUUCUUUUCCAGACAUAAUACUUACACCCCAAAUGUAACUGCGAUUUGUUUGAGGAAAGGUGCAACUUACCCAAUGUCUUGGGGGAAAAAUUGUGGCAACUAUAUUGCAAAAUUUUGGUGUGCCAUGGCCGCAAUGAUGUAUUGUAACUAAAGUAAAUCGAUAUGUGUGUUGCAUCAAAAUAGUUUGGCAUUU
RNAcentral lists this small RNA (275 nucleotides) under Oryza sativa Japonica Group (Japanese rice). RNAcentral describes it as "Os03g0737100". Lineage: Eukaryota; Viridiplantae; Streptophyta; Magnoliopsida; Poales; Poaceae. The record is from RNAcentral.